GCGGUUAGCUCAAUCGGUAGAGCGUAAGACUCUUAUCACCAGAGAUCAGAUCUUAAGGCCGCGGGUUCGAGUAAGUCGCUGGGAAUG
Molecule: non-coding RNA, 87 nt
Organism: Lithohypha guttulata
Lineage: Eukaryota; Fungi; Ascomycota; Eurotiomycetes; Chaetothyriales; Trichomeriaceae
Source: the annotation of a RefSeq genome assembly